Molecule: long non-coding RNA, 763 nt
Organism: Hippocampus comes (tiger tail seahorse)
Lineage: Eukaryota; Metazoa; Chordata; Actinopteri; Syngnathiformes; Syngnathidae
Exons: 2
Source: RefSeq, a predicted model, not a curated record
CCCUGAAAGGGUUAAUAAAUUGUGAUUUAUUUUUGUAUUUGACUAUAGAUGUCAAUAAAUUAGUUUUAUACUCAGCUUUUUAUCCUGCUACCUAUUAGCAUACCAGUUGUUCCUGUGUUAGCUUUGUUGAGUUUCAACAAGCGCCUGCCGAUAUGGCACAGAGUGUAAUCUUUCUGUGGCUAACAUUUUACGAGUGAGAAUAAAUGGAGUAGAAGAUUCCCCUCGAUGAUAUGGAAGGGAAACUGCACAAACAUGUGCCAUGGUACAGUUUGUUAUCUUUCGUCGCUUGUUACUUUGAUAAUUUCAGGGAACAGAACGGAGCCUUGACACUGAACACGUUGCAUUUUUAAACAAGAUGAUUCGCGAAUAUUUUACUUCCUUUCUCAUGAUAUAAAAUCAACCCUUGUUUAUCCUCUCUGAAAGAAGACCAUCCCCUUUUCACCUGAGUAGACCUUUUCACAUCAACAAAACGGUGUGAAAUAUGAGCUUCGCCCAGUCUGAGUGAAUGGUUGGGUGUGCUUCUCUUUGUAUUCCACCGCUUUGCACUAUUAGCGUGUUGCGUGUUAUUCUGGACGAAAGCAAUAUUAUUAAAGGGCAAGUUCGGACAGAUCGCAGCGCCGUCACCCCGUCAGCAAAUAGUUUGCGUUUACGUCUUUGGUGGAUGGUAGCGAGAGAGGGAGUUCAUCACAAAGCCAAUGGUCUGCAAAUUUUUGCUGCGCGCGAGGCUCGACCUGUUACUAACUGAAACAUAUUUGGGAGACUG